This 460-nucleotide ribosomal RNA is filed under the name uncultured bacterium. Its description in RNAcentral is "partial 16S ribosomal RNA". It matches the Rfam family "Bacterial small subunit ribosomal RNA", at positions 338 to 795 of the family's 1533-position model. The record is from RNAcentral.
CCUACGGGAGGCAGCAGUGAGGAAUAUUGGUCAAUGGACGAGAGUCUGAACCAGCCAAGUAGCGUGAAGGAUGACUGCCCUAUGGGUUGUAAACUUCUUUUAUAGGGGAAUAAAGGUAUCCACGUGUGGAUAUUUGCAUGUACCCUAUGAAUAAGCAUCGGCUAACUCCGUGCCAGCAGCCGCGGUAAUACGGAGGAUCCGAGCGUUAUCCGGAUUUAUUGGGUUUAAAGGGAGCGUAGAUGGGUUGUUAAGUCAGUUGUGAAAGUUUGCGGCUCAACCGUAAAAUUGAAAUUGAUACUGGCAGUCUUGAGUACAGUUGAGGUAGGCGGAAUUCGUGGUGUAGCGGUGAAAUGCUUAGAUAUCACGAAGAACUCCGAUUGCGAAGGCAGCUUACUAAACUGCCACUGACAUUGAUGCUCGAAAGUGUGGGUAUCAAACAGGAUUAGAUACCCCAGUAGUC